Molecule: long non-coding RNA, 736 nt
Organism: Oncorhynchus gorbuscha (pink salmon)
Lineage: Eukaryota; Metazoa; Chordata; Actinopteri; Salmoniformes; Salmonidae
Exons: 4
Source: RefSeq, a predicted model, not a curated record
UUCCCAUUAGUUCCAUGAACGAAGCCAUACGUUUCCUGACACGUAAAAUUUAACGUUUUUUUAAUUUGCAGUGAGAUUCUGAGAAUGUUUUACUAAAGUUUUCCUUGGAGGUUUAAUUAACAUUCUGAGAAUGGACAUUAUAAGUCAUUUGAAGAACCCCGGGAGCGCGGACACCAUUGGAGGUGUGAAGACAGAUGAAAACUUGUUACGGUCACAAGCACUGGAUUACAGCAGAGAGCCUCCUGUAAUGUCCUAAAUGCUUUGGUGGCCCUUUCAUCCCAUUUGACCAUGUUUGGCCCUCUGGCUCUAGUCAUGUCGUGAUAGCGACUCCGACUGGGAGCCCCCGGUGCCAAGCUGCCCGCUCUACCUGUGCCUCCAGUGGUGUUCAUAUGCCACAGUUCAUUACUGCCGGCAUGACUGUGCCGCAGGGCCAAAAGGGCACAGCAUGGAGGCGUCGUUGUGUUCUGUGUUGCAUGAAAUGCACCACUUGUUCAGUUUGCCUCUGCUUUACAUCAGAAAGAGACUGCUAUGGGACAUGGCACAGGCAGCAAAAUCACCAGCAGCAACACCCAAUAUUAAGUCCAAAGAGCUGUCACUACCAGUGAAGCAAGCAAUUCUUACAGGCUGACUACACCGCUUGCGUUGCGUGUGCGAGCGUUGCAAAAUAAAUUUAGAAAUCUAUGUUAUUCAAUUAUUGCACCUACACUGCUCGGGCGUGCCAACGAGCGUCUGCUUU